Molecule: long non-coding RNA, 1964 nt
Organism: Acipenser ruthenus (sterlet)
Lineage: Eukaryota; Metazoa; Chordata; Actinopteri; Acipenseriformes; Acipenseridae
Exons: 5
Source: RefSeq, a predicted model, not a curated record
AGUACGUACGCUCAGACGCACUGUGGGGAGCGUCCUGCCGCCGCCGCGCUUUGAGGUCAUGUGGUCUGUCUUCCGGGAGGAAGAUGUUGAUAAACUAAACCAGAUAUUCCUGUUUACGAAAAUGGUUACAGGACUGGCAUAGCAGGUGCAGCUGAGAGAUUUGAACCCAUGGCUCUAAAGGAAAAGGCUUCAACGUUCAAGCUACAGGAGUCAUCAGUUUGGAGCCUGCAGUUUGUCACAUCAUUAUAUAGGACCUAUUGAGAAAGUGAUGUAGCUGCAACCAGGCCAUGUGACCUUCAGGACAGGAAGUAAAUAGAUACCAGGAGGAUCAUUUCUUUGAUCUGCAGGAUCAGAUUUCUACCUAAUUCAAAAUGCCCAGUUUGUAUAUCAUCUCAUGGCUGCAACCUGCCUUCCAAUCAGGAUCCCUGAAAACCAAGAAGGAUAGAAAAAGAGAAUGCAGCGCUCCUUGUGGACCCACAGCCAAGAUUGGAAACUCAGUAUGACCAGGAUUCUACCAACAAGCUCCUGGUCGCUUGACUCAACCUGAACUGCACAUGGUAGGGCCUAUAAGGCGGAUCCACUGAGGCCCCUCUGUCCUAGCCCUAAUGAUCUGCCUGGAAACCGAAAGCAAGGAAUAGGUAGUGUACAACAGACAUGAAAAUACUAUUCUAUGACAAAACAGUGUAUUAUAAACCUGUGGUGUUUGUGCUCCUACAAUAUUUCAGUAUUUCUACAUAGGCUUGGUGACUAAAACAGAUCAUGGGAACUGAACUUCAAGUGGCACACAAUUACUGUAACAGAAUAGAGAAAUAAAUGUUUGAGACUAGGGGAAACCCAGAAAAUCUUUGUUUGUCUACUUGAUUAAGUCGUUGAUUUUAGUUAACCUACACCCAGCUGUAUUUGUUAGCAGGUAAAUCCAGAAUAGUGGUGGAUAGAUGGUUGAUGCAGUGCUGUAGAAUGCUAUAAAAAAUAAACUGGCUUAUCCCAGCAGGGUAUAGGUUGAUCAGAUCAACUUCUAAAUGUACCAAAGUUUUACCUCUAAGUAAUAAUAACAAAGUGAAUAUUUUUAAACGGUGCUCAAUGAUUGAAAGUAUGGUUAUGGUUUAUGAAAAACAGAUUGCUGACAUGUACCAGAAGACACAUGUAGAGAAGGUAGUGAAGGGAAAUAGUUACUUCAGCUGCAGUAAUCAGAACAUCCCUGUAGUGAGACACUGAUGGUACUGUAGUUGUGUGUUCCGGACUAUAGCCUAGAAAAAUGCAACCUCAGCAGUUUAGCUUGGCGCUUGUGCGGAUUCUGUAUUCCCCAAGGCUGGCCCUUAUUAGCUACGAUAUUACAAUGAAUGAACAAGCCUGCCAUGCCUGUCAUGUUCUGUACACUACACUGAUUCUCUCCAGCUGACCUGGUUUCUGAUCUCUCUGUUGAAGUUUGUGGUUACAGUUACAGGUACUGGGAAUGGGGUUCAGCUUACACUGCUGCAGCUGUGGUACAGCACUCUAGACGAUCCCUUUUAAUGGGGGCCCGAGGCUGUUAUCUUUUUGGGGGCUCUUUACAUAUUAAUUUGCUUCCCUUUACUGUUUUACUACCACCACACUCGAUUAACAUUAAUGUCAAAUUAUUCAAUCUUUGCUGAUCCAUAUUUUACCUGAUUUGAUGUUUUGAAUUGGCACCAGUUUUGAAAAUGAGCAUUGGCCACAGCAUUAGUUACUGGCAGUUUCAAAUACAAAAUGGGAAGUGCAAACUGAAGACUCUUUUGUCAUAAAAGCAAGUUAUCUGGAGAGUUAUCUGGAAGCCUCCCGUAUUUUAAUAUGAAUUGGUUUAUUUGCAUUUGGAAUGAUAAUUUCUCAGUCUAAAAGAAAACUACAUGGAAACGCACACAACCCAAAACUGCUACCAAAAUAGAGUGAGAAAAAGGUGAGCCUUAUUUUUAUUUUUCCAUGGAGAUUGCCCCACUGUAAUCCAUAUA